AUACCUUUCUCGGCCUUUUGGCUAAGAUCAAGUGUAGUAUCUGUUCUUAUCAGUUUAAUAUCUGAUAUGUGGACCAUUGGUUCACACGAUAUUAACUCAAUUUUUUAAGGGGAGGAGUCCAUUAAGGUAGCUUGCUACCUGGGCUCUUGCGCGUUUCCCAUGUGUUGCACUACUGCACGGGCCUGGCGCACCCCUC
This is a small nuclear RNA of Solanum dulcamara, 196 nucleotides long. RefSeq annotates it as U2 spliceosomal RNA. The transcript has a single exon. The record is from RefSeq and is a predicted model, not a curated record. Lineage: Eukaryota; Viridiplantae; Streptophyta; Magnoliopsida; Solanales; Solanaceae.